AUUGAACGCUGGCGGCAGGCCUAACACAUGCAAGUCGAACGAGUGGCGGACGGUUGAGUAAUGUCUGGGAAACUGCCUGAUGGAGGGGGAUAACUACUGGAAACGGUAGCUAAUACCGCAUACCAUCGGAUGUUCCCAGAUGGGAUUAGCUAGUAGGUGGGGUAAAGGCUCACCUAGGCGACGAUCCCUCGCUGGUCUGAGAGGAUGACAGGCCCCAGUGGAACUGGGACACGGGCCAGACUGCGACGGGGGGCCGGAGUGGGGAAUAUUGGAAAAUGGGCGUAAGGCAGAUGCAGCAAUGCCGCGUGUAUGAAGAAGGCCUUGGGGUUGGAAAGUACUUGCAGCGGGGAGGCGUUACCCGCAGAAGAAGCACCGGCUAACUCCGUGCCAGCAGCCGCGGUAAUUC
Molecule: ribosomal RNA, 406 nt
Filed under: uncultured bacterium
Lineage: Bacteria
Description: partial 16S ribosomal RNA
Rfam family: Bacterial small subunit ribosomal RNA
Source: RNAcentral